UUGAGCGAUUUACUUCGGUAAAGAGCGGCGGACGGGUGAGUAACGCGUGGGUAACCUACCCUGUACACACGGAUAACAUACCGAAAGGUAUGCUAAUACGGGAUAAUAUAUUUGAGAGGCAUCUCUUAAAUAUCAAAGGUGAGCUAGUACAGGAUGGACCCGCGUCUGAUUAGCUAGUUGGUAAGGUAACGGCUUACCAAGGCGACGAUCAGUAGCCGACCUGAGAGGGUGAUCGGCCACAU
This 242-nucleotide ribosomal RNA is filed under the name Clostridioides difficile. Its description in RNAcentral is "partial 16S ribosomal RNA". It matches the Rfam family "Bacterial small subunit ribosomal RNA", at positions 62 to 313 of the family's 1533-position model. Lineage: Bacteria; Bacillati; Bacillota; Clostridia; Peptostreptococcales; Peptostreptococcaceae. The record is from RNAcentral.